RNAcentral lists this ribosomal RNA (250 nucleotides) under uncultured bacterium. RNAcentral's name for it is "partial 16S ribosomal RNA". It matches the Rfam family "Bacterial small subunit ribosomal RNA", at positions 355 to 621 of the family's 1533-position model. The record is from RNAcentral.
GGAGGAAUAUUGGGCAAUGGACGCAAGUCUGACCCAGCAACGCCGCGUGGAGGAUGAAGGUCUUUGGAUUGUAAACUCCUUUUGCAGGGGAAGAGUGAGGACGGUACCCUGAGAAUAAGUCACGGCUAACUACGUGCCAGCAGCCGCGGUAAUACGUAGGUGACGAGCGUUAUCCGGAUUUAUUGGGCGUAAAGCGCACGCAGGCGGCUUGACAAGUCUGACGUGAAAUCUCCCGGCUUAACUGGGAGCG